This 271-nucleotide ribosomal RNA is filed under the name uncultured bacterium. RNAcentral's name for it is "partial small subunit ribosomal RNA". It matches the Rfam family "Bacterial small subunit ribosomal RNA", at positions 26 to 285 of the family's 1533-position model. The record is from RNAcentral.
AGAAUCAACGCUGGCGGCGUGCCUAACACAUGCAAGUCGAACGCGGUUACUUCGCAAGAGGUGACUGAGUGGCGAACGGGUGAGUAGCACGUGGGUGACCUACCUUCGAAUGGGGGAUAACGUCCCGAAAGGGACGCUAAUACCGCAUAACAUCCUGCCUUUGAACAGGUGGAGAUCAAAGCCGGGGAUCGCAAGACCUGGCGUUUGAAGAGGGGCCCGCGUCUGAUUAGCUAGUUGGUGAGGUAACGGCCCACCAAGGCGACGAUCAGUA